GCGAAUUCGCCCUUCGGGGUGCCCAGGCGCGAAAACUUCACAAUGGGAGAAAUCCCGAUGAGGGAAUUCCAAGUGCUAGCACUAUGUGUUAGCUGUUCUUUUGUCUAAAAAACAGAAGAAGUAAGGGCCGGGUAAGACGGGUGCCAGCCGCCGCGGUAAUACCCGCGGCCCGAGUGGUGGUCGAUAUUAUUGAGCCUAAAACGUCCGUAGCCGGUCUUGUAAAUCCUUGGGUAAAUCGGCCAGCUUAACUGUCCGAAGUCCGGGGAGACUGCAAGACUUGGGAUCGGGAGAGGUCAGAGGUACUUCUGGGGUAGGGGUAAAAUCCUGUAAUCCUGGAAGGACCACCGGUGGCGAAGGCGUCUGACUAGAACGAAUUCGACGGUGAGGGACGAAGCCCUGGGGCGCAAACGGGAUUAGAUACCCCGGUAGUCCAGGGUGUAAACGCUGCGGGCUUGGUGUUGGGGGUCCUUUGUGGGCGCCCAGUGCCGGAGAGAAGUUGUUAAGCCUGCUGCUUGGGGAGUACGUCCGCAAGGAUGAAACUUAAAGGAAUUGGCGGGGGAGCAC
This 564-nucleotide ribosomal RNA is filed under the name uncultured archaeon. RNAcentral describes it as "bacterial SSU rRNA". It matches the Rfam family "Archaeal small subunit ribosomal RNA", at positions 312 to 879 of the family's 1478-position model. The record is from RNAcentral.